AGAAAUGUGUCUGACAAAAGAGUUACUUUGAUAGAGUAAAAAAUAGGGGUGAAAGUCCCCUUAUUUCUA
Molecule: transfer RNA, 69 nt
Filed under: Megaloglossus woermanni (Woermann's bat)
Lineage: Eukaryota; Metazoa; Chordata; Mammalia; Chiroptera; Pteropodidae
Description: tRNA-Ile
Rfam family: tRNA
About the family: Transfer RNA (tRNA) molecules are approximately 80 nucleotides in length. Their secondary structure includes four short double-helical elements and three loops (D, anti-codon, and T loops).
Source: RNAcentral